GGAAGACAGGAACAUAGGAAUUGCCAUACUGUAUCAUGCCUGUGGUCCAUCUCGUCCGGUAUUCUGUCUGCAACAGUGCCCAUCACUGGAUGCCUCUGAAGAAGGUGCAAGAACUCCACAGAAGGCAUAUGUGGGGUAAUUUUCCGCUCAUGAAGGUCUCAUCCUAAUUUAGACUGUCCAGUUUGGCCGAUGUACAUAGCAGAGGGGCAUUGCUGGCAUAUGAUGGCGUAUAUUACAUUGGUGGACGUGCAGUCCAUCACAGAAGAGAGAACUGCGUUGCCAACUGCAGCAUCAGAGCUAGAGGAUUCAACCAAGGCAUAGUGUCUAAAGAAGCUGUAGUAGGUACUCCAGGACAAGUGGAGGUGGGGCAGAUUCAGGAGCAGCAUUGUGGAGUUCACACCUGUGGCCAAAUCUUGUCCACUUUUGAAGAGCUGAAAGAAACCAGUCAAGUUAAAGCUCUUUGGCCCGUACCAAAUGUGGUGCUGUAUAAAAAGGGGGAAGCAACUUCUCUAGACAGCAUCUGUGGGGGAAAAAGAACAGACAAAGCAAUUCUUUUUUUUUUAACCUAAAUUUAAUGUAGGAUUAAGAUUUGCUACAUAUGAACCAGUAUUAAAACUUUUAUGUUAAAUGUAGUUUGAACAAAGCCAAUUAACACUGUUUUUUGUGUAGGGGCAUCUAACUUUAAGUAUAUUAGUAAUUUAUAAAAUUCAGCAUUGGCUCCCAGGGCUUUGCCUGAUGUAAAUAUAAAAGAUAACUUAGUAAGAGGAAGUAGAGUAAAGGAAACCCCACUCACUAUUCCUCUAAUCUGCAAGGUACUGCAGGGGGAAGAAAUUGGGAAAAGGAGCAAAGAUAGAAAGAACCCUUAGAUAAAGUUAAAAUAUUAAGUAUCUGUAAUAUUAAUAUAUAUAGUUUUGUUGUUGCACAUUUGCAUUGGCCAGAAUGCCAGCCACAGAAGUUGGUUUAAAUUCUUGAUUGUUAAUAAAUGUAUUUUUAGUUUAACUAAUUGUUGAUUGUGUAUCAUUAUCCAAAGAUAAGUAUUCUGGACAGAUCCUUGGCCAUGAUAAAAGAAAGCAGCAAUGUAUGCUUUAUACAGGAAUUUUGUAAAGGAAAUAUUAAAGCCUUACUUUAUAAAAAUAAGAAUAAAAAUAAAAAAUGUAGCAGCCUUUGCUACCCACAGCAUAA
Molecule: long non-coding RNA, 1182 nt
Organism: Gopherus flavomarginatus (Mexican gopher tortoise)
Lineage: Eukaryota; Metazoa; Chordata; Testudines; Testudinidae
Exons: 5
Source: RefSeq, a predicted model, not a curated record